RNAcentral lists this ribosomal RNA (303 nucleotides) under uncultured bacterium. RNAcentral describes it as "partial 16S ribosomal RNA". It matches the Rfam family "Bacterial small subunit ribosomal RNA", at positions 510 to 808 of the family's 1533-position model. The record is from RNAcentral.
AGCAGUCGCCCGGGAAUACGUAGGUGGCAAGCGUUGUCCGGAAUUAUUGGGCGUAAAGGGCUCGCAGGCGGUUUCUUAAGUCUGAUGUGAAAGCCCCCGGCUCAACCGGGGAGGGUCAUUGGAAACUGGGAAACUUGAGUGCAGAAGAGGAGAGUGGAAUUCCACGUGUAGCGGUGAAAUGCGUAGAGAUGUGGAGGAACACCAGUGGCGAAGGCGACUCUCUGGUCUGUAACUGACGCUGAGGAGCGAAAGCGUGGGGAGCGAACAGGAUUAGAUACCCCCGUAGUCCCUGUCUCUUAUACA